Molecule: long non-coding RNA, 14358 nt
Filed under: Citrus maxima (pomelo)
Lineage: Eukaryota; Viridiplantae; Streptophyta; Magnoliopsida; Sapindales; Rutaceae
Description: long non-coding RNA (CMAX_LNC003400)
Source: RNAcentral
AUAUAUGCACGUAGCCGUUUACAAAGUGAUCAAUUCAUCACACACGAAACAAAUAAUUGAUCUGCAAGUCAUCGUAAUUCGUUUCAAUUUUCUACCUGCGAGCUCACAACAUUCAACUACUUCACAAAGUCGACAAAGUUAAUAAAUAAAUAUACGUGACAGACUUAUUCUCAGACCAUUUCAAUAUUGGCAAAUAAUAAGUCUCUAAUUUUUAUGAGUCUGCUUAUAAUUUCUUUUGUGUUGACCCUAUUCUCAGGUGAUUCGCUUGUACACUCCAUUGCUAAACUCAAAACAGAUGAUGCACAUGACUGCUUUGCAACAUUAGCGUGUUCUUCAUCUUCACUCAGUAGAUUUGCAUCCAUGAUAUCAAUCACCGCAGGUAACGAGUCGUUAACCCAACGCUUUAUGCUCAUUUCUCCAGUAAAAAAUUCGUUUGUGGGUUUCAUUCCUGUAAAUACUUCCAUCAACAUAAUCCCGUAGCUGUACACAUCACCUUUUAUUGAUACUUGUCCUUCUCUUCCAUACUCUAUAGAUUGCAUAAAUUAAAACAUCAGCAUUCAAUAAUAUUCUGCCAAGAAGAUAAUGAAAAACCAAUACUAAUAUUGUUUAAAAUUAACAAAUAUGAAGCUUAGAACAAACCUGGUGCCAUGUAACCUAUCGUGGCGAGUGUUCGUGUUUGUUUCAUAGAGUCUUCUUCACUUAAGAGCUUUGCAAUCCCAAAAUCACUCAAAUGUGCAACCAUGUUGUCGUCCAACAAUACGUUGCUAGGCUUCACGUCGCAAUGAACAAUAGGAUUGGAAUGACCAAAGUGGAGAUAUUCUAAAGCUGAUGCAACAUCUAUCAUUAUGCCCAAUCUCUGAAAAAUAUCCAAAUUAAAAUUGCUAGCGUACAAACAAUCCUCCAGACUCCCAUUCGGCAUGUACUCUAGUACCAAUGCUUUGAAAUUAUGAUUUGUACAACUGCUGAUAAUUUUGACCAAGUUUCUAUGGCGAAUAGCUUUUAAUAUUUCACAUUCCGCAUCGAAACUAUUUAAUGCUCCUUCCCGUUGUAAGUGAAAUACCUUUAUUGCAACCUCAAUCCCAUCUGGAAACCUGCCUUUAUAAACCGAGCCAUAACUUCCAAUCCCAAUGAGGUUUUCUUCACUAAAUUGAUCCGUUGCUCGCAAAAGCUCAUCAGGUGAGUAUCUUCUCCACAUCACUUGUGGUGACAUAUCAGCUUUAAUGUGUGAAACCUCUGUGCUUCUUCUUUUACGACAUCUGGUGAUCAAUCCAAAUGUAAGAGCCAGUAUGACUGUAACAAUGAACACAGUGCUCAAAGGCAAAACAACUCCUAGAAGAAUAACUUUUUUCCUUGAUUUUUUAUGAGGGCUACUUUUGCACAAUGGAACGUGCAGAUAGGGGGAACCACACAACAAAUCAUUUCCUAUAAAUGAUUCAGCUGAGAAGUUUGCAAAAGCUCCUCCUCUGGGAAUCUCCCCUACUAGUUUGUUGAAAGAGAGAUUCAGACUUUUGAGGUACAAGAGUUUCUCCAAAGAUGCAGGAAUAACACCCGAAAGAUCAUUAUUAGAUAAAUCUAAGAAUUCCAAGCUGACCAACUCACCAAAAGAUUCUGGAAUAGGACCUUGUAGUUUAUUGUGCUCCAAGGAAAGAUGUUGCAGAUUUUUUAGGCCUACAAUUGUGGAUGGGAUAUUCCCCGAUAAAUUAUUCCUUGACAAAUAUAUGUUUACCACAGCUUUCAGAUUUCCAAUCUCCAAUGGAAGAGACCCAUUUAAAGAAUUUGAUGAAAAGUCGAAGCCCAGUAUAUCUUGAAGGUUCCAAAAAGUUGAAGGUAUAACAGAAGUUAACUCAUUUGAACUCAGAGAGAGUAUCCUUAGAGAGUUCAGAUCACCCAAGCAUGAAGGGAUUGAUCCUGAAAGCUUGUUGCGGUUCAAGUAAACCACAUAGAGUCUAGAGAAAUGGCAGAACUCCUGUGGGAUUGGUCCUUCAAAUUUAUUAUUUUGAAGAUCCAAACCUUGGAGUUUCUUUAGUCUACCAAGUGUAAUUGGAAGUGAUCCACUCAAAUUAUUGUAUCCUAAACUCAGCGUUGUCAAGUUGAUCAAGUUGCCAAUCUCUUUAGGAAUCCUGCCAUGAAUGUUACAUUUGUACAUGUAGAUUUCUUCCACAGAAACUGAAAGAUUACCUAUGGAACUUGGAAGGACACCAUCCACAGGAUUUUCCGCCAAAGCAAUCACUUUUAAACUCUUGCAGUUUACCAAAGCAGAAAAUAAGCUCAUCAAUUCGGAGGUUGAGGAUGUCAAGUAGUUGCGUUGUAACCCAAGCCUCUUCAGGUUUCUUAAAUGGCCGAAUGCCUCUGGAAUAAGUCCUGAGAAGGAGUUAUAUCCCAGCUCUAGGGCAUAGAGCUUGGAAGCAUUGAAAAAGAAACUUGGAAUACUGCCACUAAAAUUGUUAAGCCCCAAGUUCAAUAGCUCGAGAUUUGGAAGUCCAAUUAAGUUCUUGCUAGAUGGAAGAUUUCCUGAGAGUGUAUUGUUGAAGAGGCUUAGUAUUUUCAAUGUUGAAAUGUUGAGGAUUGUAUCUGGGAUAAAACCGAGUAGGUUGUUUUGAUCGGUCCCCAAAAUCUCUAGAUUACGUAGAUUUCCGAUUUCUUGUGGAAUCUCACCUGCAAACAUGUACAUAAUUACAUAUUGUUAUGCUAAAUUUUGAACAUUUCUAAAGAUUUGUAAUGAUUAAUAGGCCAUAACAAAAGUACAUUAAAUAAAGGGGCUCAAACAUGAAUAUACAUAUAAAUUGGUAAAUUUUCAGUCAGCCCUUCUUUUCCUGAAUAUUAUUCCAAUUUCCAGCAUAGGCUGCAUAGCCCCCAAGCCUAGACACAUAGUUCCGCCCCCUACACAGUGUAUAAUUGAGUAAGCUAUAACAUAAUAUCUAUAAAAUCUAUAAAUAAAAGUAUACAUAGAAAUUGAUAAAAUUUUCAUUUUAAACCCCAAUUUGACUGUAAUCUUUUCCAAUCUGACCUCCAGGCCCUACACAUAAUUUUGCCCAUAAGUAAUACUCUAUGUGUAUGUAUGAAUUAAUAAAAUCUAUAGAGUGGAACAUGUUAUCUAGGAACGUAAAUUUAAAAAGAAAAUAAAAAAUAAAACAAAUAACACUGUGUGAUUUUGAUUUAUACCUUGGAGUUUGUUAUAGUCAAGAUGUAACUCUUUAAGCUUGGUCAAAUUGCCGAUUUCUUUUGGUAUGGUACCCGAAAACCAAUUAUGACUGAGAACGAGUGUUUGAAGCGAAGAAAGGUUUCCAAGAUAAGAAGGGAUGGUGCCUGUAAGGCCAAGAUCAGAAAUGGUCAAGGAUGUGACUCUAUUGCCAUAGACAUCACAAGUGAUGCCCAUCCAGCUACAAACGGAAGUAUUUGAGGUCCAAUUUUGAGCCAAAAUAUUGUUGGGAUUACCAUUGAUCAUAUGAGCUUUUACGGAAAGAAGAGCAUCUUGGUCUCUGGAUAUGUUUGCUGCAGCUGCCACAAUAGCUGAGAAAAGAAUCAAAUAAGGGACAAAGAGAUAUGGAUCGUUUCUCCCCAUGUUAAUUUUCCAAAGGACAAGCAAAUGCUAAUUAAAAACAAAUAAUGAUACCCAAUAAUUUAUAAGCAGCAGCUAAGUGGGAAUGCAUCUUUUUUAAUUUACAUUACCAGAGACCAAGACUAAGUCAUCAGUUUUAAUAAAUGAUCAUCUUGUUUAGUCUAUUCCACCUCCGCUAGUUGUCUAUCAAAGGAUAAUAAAACCAUGAUGUGCCAAUCACAUUAUUAUUUUUAUUAAACACAAAUUGUUAUCUUACAAUUGGGCGGUGGUUAAGUAAUUUUACUAACUAUGAAAUUCAUCAUCCAAUAGAUGAGCGACACAUAGUAUUAGAUUCAAGUUGGGACUCAAACAGUAAGAUCCCUAACAUUAUUGUUUUAUUUUAUUAUUAUUAUUUUUUGUUAACGUAUCAUAAUCUCACUCACUUACAAGGCCUAUGUUUUCCUAUUUAUAAAAUUCAUACAAUCGUAACCUUUAAAUCUCAAGAAAUCAAAUCUGACAGACAGCUCGGCAUUGAGGUACUGCAAAAGAUACGCCAAUUCACACAACCUAGUCUUGUGUUUUCUUUAAUAUUGCAUGAUAAAUCUAGUUACUUGUACUUUCAACAUUACAUGAUAAAUCGAGCUGCUUUAUUUACAAAUUAAAAAUCAAUGAAAAUCUCCUAAAUUAAUUCUUUAAUUUCACAAAUUUAGAUAUCAAUGGACUCAAUCUCAACUCUCUUUUCAUAUGUAUGAAUAAGAAAAUAGUUUAAUAUUUGAACAUUAUAUAUAAUUCCUGAUUUAAAAUUUAAAUCCUUUUAAAUAUGACAUUGGUUACUAAUGACCAUAUGUGAGGUUGUCAUUACUGUGCGUGUGUAUGUAUAUAUAUAAUUUUUCUCUAAUGAAAAUAUUCCCACUUUGUUAAAGUGAGAGUGCACAUUAAAAUAUAAAAAAAUACAGAUUUCAAUAUAUAGGAAACUGUGUUUUUUUUUUUUGUUAGUAUAUUGAAAUAUGUAUUAUUUUUUAUUUUUUAUUAGCAUUUUCACUUAAAGUGAGAAUGUUCUCGCUGAAGAAUUAUUUUUUAUAUAUCCUAAAUUUGUUAAAGUUUGGAAAAAUUAUUAAGGCAUAAGCUAUUAAAAUAUAUAGUUUAAUAAUUUUCUGGAAUUGUAAUAAAUUCUAAGCUCCUAAAUCAUAUCAAUACUCUCUCUUUCAUACAUAAAUGAUACUCAAAUUUUAUGAAAGAAAUAAAAGACAGAGAAUCACGAGAUCAAUUACUUGACGAAGCAAUGUAUGGGUGGACUUAGACAUCCUCGAGAAUAUUCUUUUUUAACUUUUUUUUUUAAUACUGUUAUAUAGGACUGUAGGUAUUACAAUUAAUAUUUACAAACAGAUUCUACAAUUGAAACCUUCUUCGUGGCAUGUACUCCUCUGAAGCGCUGCCCAAAUUCUUCAAACAAUCCUCCAGACUCCCAUUCGGCAUGUGCUCUAGUAUCAAUGCUUUGAAAUUAUGAUUUGUGCAACUGCUGAUAAUUUUGACCAGGUUUCUAGGGCGAAUAUUUUUUAACAUUUCACAUUCAGCAUCGAAGCUAUUUAAUGCUCCUUCACGUUGUAAGUUAAAUACCUUUAAUGCAACCUAGGUUCCAUCUAGAAACCUGCCUUUAUAAACCGAGCCAUAACUUCCAAUCCCGAUGAGGUUUUUUUCACUAAAUUGAUCCGUUGCUCGCAAAAGCUCAUCAUGUGAGUAUCUUCUCCACAUCACUUACGGUGACAUAUCGGCUUUAAUGUGUGAAACGUCUGUGCUUCUUUUUUUACGACAUCUGGUGAUUAAUCCAAAUGUAAGAGCCAGUAUGACUGCAACAAUGAACACAGUGCUCAAAGGCAAAACAACUCCCAAGAGAAAAACUUUUUUCCUUAAUUUUUUAUGAGGGCUACUUUUGCAAAGUGGGACUUGCAGAUGGGGUGAACCACACAACAAAUCAUUUCCUAUAAAUGAUUCAGCUGAGAAGUUUGCAAAAGCUCCUCCUCUGGGAAUCUCUCCUACUAGUUUAUUGAAAGAGAGAUUCAGACUUUUGAGGUACAAGAGUUUCUCCAAAGAUGUAGGAAUAACACCGGAAAGAUUAUUAUUUGAUAAAUCCAAGAAUUCCAAGCUGACCAACUCACCAAAAGAUUCUGGAAUAGGACCUUGUAGUUUAUUGUGUUUCAAGGAAAGACGUUGCAGAUUUUUUAAGCCUACAAUUGUGGAUGGGAUAUUCCCAGACAAACGAUUCCAUGACAAAUCUAUGUUUACCACAGCUUUCAGAUUUCUAAUCUCCAAUGGUAGAGACCCAUUUAAAGAAUUUGAUGAAAAGUCGAAGGUCAAUAUAUCUUGAAGAUUCCAAAAAGUUGAAGGUAGGACAGAAGUUAACUCAUUUGAACUCAGAAAGAGAUUCCUUAGAGAAUUCAGAUCACCUAAGCAUGAAGGGAUUGAUCCUGAAAGCUUGUUGUGGUUCAUGUAAACAUCAAAGAGUUUAGAGAAAUGGCAAAACUCCUGUGGGAUCGGUCCUUCGAAUUUCUUAUCAUGAAGAUCCAAACCUUGGAGUUUCUUUAGUCUACCAAGCGUUAUUGGAAGUGAUCCACUCAGAUUAUUGCAUCCUAAACCCGACGUUAUCAAGUUGAUCAAGCUGCCAAUCUCUUUAGGAAUCCUACCGUGAAUGUUGCAUUUGUACAUGUAGAUUUCUUCCACAGAAACAGAAAGAUUACCUAUGGAACUUGUAAGGACACCAUCUAGAGGAUUUUCCGAUAAACCAAUCACUUUUAAACUCUUGCAAUUUACCAAAGCAGAAAAGAAGCUCAUCAAUCUGGAGGUUGAAGAUUUCAAGUAGUUAUGUAGUAACCCAAGCCUCUUCAGGUUUCUUAAAUUGCCCAAUGCCUCAGGAAUAAGUCCUGAGAAGGAGUUAUAUCCCAGCUCUAGGUGAUAGAGCUUGGAAGCAUUGAAAAAGAAACUUGGAAUACUCCCACUAAAAUUGUUAAGCCCCAAGCUCACUGCCUUGAGAUUUGGAAGUCCAAUUAAGUUCUUGCUAGAUGGAAGAUUUCCUGAGAGGGUAUUGUUGAAGAGGCUAAGUAUUUUCAAUGUUGAAAUAUUGAAGAUUGUAUAUGGGACAAAACCGACUAGGUUGUUUUGAUUAAUCCCCAAAUCACUAGAUUACGUAGAUUGCCGAUUUCUUGUGGAAUCUCACCUGCAAAUAUAUACCUAAUUACAUAUUCUUAUGCUAAAUUUUGAAAAUUUCUAUAGAUUUUUAAUGAUUGAUUUCGUCUAUAUUUACGUACUUAAGAAAGAAAUAUGUGUUAUAGAUUAUAGAUGAUAAAUAGCCAAGGUACGUACCGAUCAAGUUGUUAAAGGCAAGAUAGAGCAAUUUGAGCUUGGUCGAGUUCCCAAGAUCUCUUGGUAUACGGCCUGUGAAUUGAUUAAAUGACAAUGAAACACUACUCAGCUCUUUACAGUGCCACAAAUUGUUUGGAAUUGGCCCUUUGAAUUGAUUAUAAGACAUGUACAAUCCUUUAAGACGUGGAAGGCCUUGACACAUGUCAUCAGGAAAGCUACCAGUUAGGCUAUUAUUUGAAAAAUCCAAAGCAGUUAAUAUAGAAGAAAGAUUGAAGAUUGAAGCAAGAAUGGUUCCUGUUAACAAGUUAUUAUUUAGCAUUAACACUUCCAAUUCUGCCAGGUUGCCCAACUCCUCAGGAAUUUCUCCUGCAAAUUAAAUGAAGCAACAUGUGUUAAUAUAUUUACCAUUCAACUUAACGAGGAUAUAAGAGCCAUAGAUUGGAAGAUGUGAUCUAGGCAGGGAAACUUAGUACUAACGGAUGCGGCAUUAUAUCAUUAGUUGAGUGAACAUAUAAAUAAUAAAGAGUAAAUCAUGUGGUUUAUGUAGUGUUUUUAUUCAACCAAUCAUAUUAAGUCACGUUAGUUUGUACAAAAAUAAUUUGUACAAAAAUUUAUAGGUGUAUCAUUACUCAUUUACAUAACACUUGUGAUGGAACUAGUAUUUUCAUUUUGACAGGAGCUGUAAACUAUAUACUUAAAAGAGAAUGUAACACAAAUUAAGAAGGCUGAUAGUCAUGACCAUAAUAGAGAAAUUAUAAAACUAGUUAGGUCAUAACAAAAGUACAUUAAAUAAAGGGGGCCAAAAACUAAAUAUACAUAUAAAUUGGUAAAUUUUCAAUCAGCCCUUAUUUUCCUAAAUAUUUUUCUAGCAUUAGCCCCCAAGCCUGGACACAUCGUUCGGCCCCCUACACAGCACUCUUGUGUUCUGUAUGAUUGAGUAAGCAACAACAUAAUAUCUAUGAAAUCUAAGAACAAAAGUACACAGAGAAAUUGAUAAAAUUUUCAUUUUAACCCCUAACUUGCCUGAAAUCUUUUCCAAUCUGACCUCCGGGCCCUACACAUAAUUUUGCCCCUACAUAUUACUCUCUGUGUAUGUGUCAACUAAUUCAAUUAAUAAAAUCUAUAGAGUGGAACAUGUUAUCUGGGAACGUAAAUUAAAAAGAAAAUUAAAAAAAAAUAAAACACAACACUGUGUGAUUUUGAUUCAUACCUUCGAGUUUGUUAUAGCGAAGACGUAACUCUUUAAGCUUGGUCAAAUUGCCGAUUUCUUUUGGUAUGGUACCCAUAAACCAAUUAUGACUGAGAACAAGUGUUUGAAGCGAAGAAAGGUUUCCAAGCUGAGAAGGGAUGGUGCCCGUAAGGCCAAGAUCGGAGACAAUCAAGGAUGUGACUCUAUUGCCAUAGACGUCGCAAGUGAUGCCCAUCCAGCUACAAACCGAAGUAUUUGAGGUCCAAUUUUGAGCCAAAAUACUGCUGGGAUUAUCAUUGAUUAUAUGAGCUUUUACAGAAAGAAGAGCAUCUUGGUCUCUGGAUAUGUUUGCUGCAGCUGCCACAAUAACUGAGAAAAGAAUCAAAUAAGGGACAAAGAGAUCUGGAUCGUUUCUCCCCAUGAUAAUUUUCCAAAGGACAAGCAAAUGCUGAUUAAGUAUAAAUACUGAUACCCAAUAAUUUAUAGGCAGCAGCUAAGUGAGAAUGCAUCUUUUUUAAUUUACAUUACCAGAGACCAAGACUAAAUAAUCGGUUUUAAUAAAUGAUCAUCUUGUUUAGUUUAUUAAACUCGAGCUGUUAUCUUAAUCUUGCACAUUUCUCUCUUUCUGAUUUGUUUAAAAGAACUCGACUGAGUGACUUAUUCACAUGUGAACUCAAUUCAUGAGUCAUUUUAUACUAUUUCCCUGAAGUCGAGCUUGCAUGUUCUGGAAUCAAAGUCAAAAGGGUCAAAGCGAGGUAGCGGAAGUAAAUUGAGAGGGUAUGUAGCCACUAUAUAUGGUUUUAGAACCUAAUCGAAGCAUGAUUAUAUUUCUUUCCAAUCCAAACGACUCAAUGAGAUUUUUUUUGUAAUGCUUUAAAUGAGAUUAAAUGACUUUAUAAUUUAAACGAUUUUACAAGAGAGAUUUUGAUAAAUAAUCUGAAAGUAACUUUUAAAAGAUAGAUUUUUAUUGAACAAUAAAAGUUGAACUUGAACUAACAAUGACAAGAAUUUCUAAUUUAUAAUAAAGUAAACUUAGUUCUUGAAGUUAACAUGGAAAGAAAAAUUAAAUCACAAAAAAAUAUAAUACUAAAACACAUUAUAAUUGACUCUAAUUACAAUAGCAAAGGCUUAAAAUAACAAAAUUCUAAAAUAACAUCUUACAUCACUGAAUUAUCAAAGUAUUAGCGUGAUUAUAUUGCAGCAUCUAUAAGGAACAACAAUUGUGUUUUCUAUUGUUAAUAAUAACAAGUUAUAUAUACAUUAUUAGCAAUGACGCUUUCGUUGCACGAACUUAUAUAUGUCCGUGAUGUGUGUUUUAUUAAUUAUUUGUAAUAUGUAAUGGCAAUAUUAUUACCAAUAACAAACAACUUAUUAUCAAUAACGAAUCGAUCAUUUAAUUAAUAAAAUUGAAAUUUAGUACAAGCAUGAAAUUCCUACUUAUUUACAAGCUCGAUGCAUCUUUUUUAAUUUACAUUACCAGAGACCAAGACUAAAUAAUCAGUUUUAAUAAAUGGUCAUUGUUUAGUUUAUUCGCUAGCUGUCUAUAUAUCAAAGGAUAAUUAAACUAUGAUGUGCCAAUCGCAUUAUCUAUUUUAUUAAACACAAGUUGUUAUCUUAAUCUUGCACAUUUUUCUCUUUCUGAUUUCUUUGAGAGUUGGACUAUUGGCACCCCUCCAUAAUUCUUUUAAAACCUCUCUUCUAUUAUAAUUACAUUUUUGGACAAAUUCUCUAAUAUAUCUCACGUCUAUUUUAUCUCACUUCAAACUUUUGCAUUUUCUCUCUUUUUUUAAAAAAAAAAAAAAAAAAACUCUUGUAUUUUCUUUGCUAUCACACUCAUACAUGUAAUUUUUUUUCUCAAAUUCUCUAUAAAUUUUUCUUCAAUUAAUAAGAUAAUCUAUUGAUAAUAAAUAAAACACAUUCUGAUAAAUUUAUCUUACUUUGUUUUAGGCUCAUACUAAAACUUUUUACAUCAUAAUCUUAGAGAUAAUUUAUUUGGUUCAUUAAUUUUUAUCAAGAAGUUUAUCACCAAUAAAAAUUAUUUGUGAGGUGCGAGAAAAAAAAAAUUAAAAGAUUCAUAAAUUAAAUGUGUUUAUUUAGAAAUAAGGGUAAUUUUGGCAUUAGGUUUAGUAUAAUUAAAAAAGGGGUUUAAAAAAAACUUUGGAGGGCCAAUAGUCCAACUCUUUGUUUAAAAGAACUCGACUGAGUGACUUAUUCACAUGUGAACUCAAUUCAUGAGUCAUUUUAUACUAUUUUCCUGAAGUUGAGCUUGCAUGUUCUGGAAUCAAAGUCAAAGGGUUCAAACUAGAUGAAAAAGUGAGGUAGCGGAACUAAAUUGAGAGGGUAGAUAGCCACCGGAUAUGGUUUUAGUACCUAAUCAAGAAACAUGAUUAUAUCUCGUUUCAAUCCAAACGACUCAAUAAUAUUUUUUAUAACGCUUUAAGGGUGCAUUUGGCACACUGUAUUGUAUUAUAUUGUAUUGCAUUAUUUUAAUACUGGUGUAUUAUAUUAUGUUGUAUUUCAUUAGUAUUGUAUUAUAACAAUAGUGUACAAUAUUUGGUGUUACAGUGUACUGUAUUAAUUUUUUUGUGAUUAAUUUAAAUUAAAUAUUAUAUUAUAUUAAUAUAUUUAAAUUGUAUUAUUAUUUUAUAUUAUUAUUUAUUUCAGAUUAAUAUUAUUCAAAUUUAUUCAUAUUUAAAUAUUUAUUAUUAGUUAUAAUAAAAUAUUAAUUUAUUAAUUUAUAUUAAUAAUUAUAAUGUAAAAAUAAAAAAUUAUAUAAUAUUAUAUUAAAUUAAAAAAUUAUAUUAUUAUUAUUAUAAUAAAACAAAAGCAAAAGGGAAAAAAAAAAAAAAAAGCAAGCGGCAACUACCGCAUUAGCUUGGGCCCAUUAAUACAAUGGUCUUGUAGUUCUUUAUCUACCAAACAUGGGCUUGUAUAAGUUUAAUGCAAUAAGAGAUUUUAAUACAACAACCAAACAAGCGUUAAAUGAGAUUAGAUAAUGUUCUAAUUUAAACGACUCUAAAAAAAAGAUUUUGAUAAAUAAUUUGAAAGUAACUUUCAAAAGAUAAAUUUGUAUUGAACAAUUAAAGUUGAACUUGAACUAACAAUGACAAUAACUUCUUAUUUAUAAUAGGGUAAAUCUACUUCUUGAGGUUAACAUCGAAAGAAAAAUUAAAUCACAAUAAAAAUAAAAUAUUAAAACACAUACUAUAAUUGACUCUAAUUAAAAUAGCAAAGGCCUAAAAUAAAAAAAAUUCUAAAAUAAUAUCUUACAUCACUAGAUUAUCAAAGUAAUAGUGUGAUUAUAUUGCAGCAUGUAUAAGGAACAACAAUCGUGUUUUCUAUUGUAAAUAGCAAGUUAUAUAUACAUUAUUAGCAAUAACGUUUUCGUUGCAUGUAAAAUUUAUGUACGUCAAUCAAGCCGCUUAUGCUUACAAUUCAGAGAUUAAAUGUAAGAUGCAAAACUUGUUUGUUUUGAAAUACUAAUGUGAGUUCACUUGUAGCAAUUGGGCAUGUUUCUGAUGGAGGAUAAAAUUGUAUGUGAAUAUAAAUAAAUUACAACUUAAUAUCCACAUCUUCUAGAACAUUCUAGACCUUAGAAUGGUCUAAAACACUUAAACCAAAUUCAAAAGUUUAAUUUGUCUUAGAGUUAAUUAUACUCGGUGCAUGAUUCUUUUUCAUCGCUUUCUAAAUUUUAUUUUAAGUAAUGCUAGAUAUCUCAAUAUAUAAGUUUCAAUUUGAAUCUCAACUAAAUGACACAUAACAUUGAGAAUCAGGUUGGAACUGAAACAAUGUGAUCCCUAUUUUCUCCGUUACUUUGUCUCUUCAGUCUUGUCAUCUAUUUUCUCUCUUUUAAGUUUUUAAUCACCUCUCUUGCUAGAUUUAUAAUUGUCUUUCGGUUAGCUGAUAUAUAAUUUCAUAACAAUUAUGACAGAAAGAGUGGAAAUAAAAGUGACAAAUUAAUUAAAAAGUGAAGAGCGGUCUUUUUAGAACUCAAGUAUUGAAAUCUGUCCUUUUUAUAUAAAAGUAAGAAGCUAAUACAACAUUUUAUUUUCAUUAAAAUUGCCCUCGUUAUCCAAGGUUCAUUCAAAAAAAUAAAGUUUAUGUAAUGGAAUUUGAAAGUAGAAAUUUUUUUUCUAAUUAAUCAAUAUGAAUUGUUGUACCCAUUUCAUUUUGAUUGAUGGAAUAAUUUGUACUUUGACCUGCAGAGUCUGCUGAAUGCAAAGAUCCAACUUCUAAAAGUGGGUAUUCUAUGCUAUUCGUUCAGUCCUGUUUAGAUUGGAUUCGGGUUGAGUUUGAAAUGUGUUUGUAUUAGAUUCGAAUCAGACCUAAUUAAUUUCGGACGGCAAUUGCACAUUAAAAUAAUAAUAAUAAUAAAUAUUGAAAGCAAAAGACAAGGCUAUUUUAUUCCUAAGUAAUCUAAACUAAGAUGCCAUUAUUGACCAAUUCCAAGAUCUUAAAAUUAGAAAGUAGCAGCAGCAGCCGCGCGAUUUCAUGUUAUAAAUUUCAUGAACACAUAUUCAAACACCAUCAAUUAGAUAGAAAGUAGGGUACUGUUCAUACAACAAUAUUACUGUAGCACACAAAACCACAAUAUUCUUUAUGCUACAGUACUGUCAUUUUUAUCAUGGUGGUGUUUUGUCGAUUGUCAAAUAUCAUUAUUCAUAUUUCGUUAUUUCAUUGUCUCACAGUUUGUAGAAAUGCUCAGUCUCAGUUAAGUACAGCAGCAGCGGAUGCUGUGAAGCAGCUGAUUCCAGAAUCAGCAGAUACUGACUUGCUUCCACCUCAAGACUGUGGAUUAUCAAAGCAUGCCCCGAGUUCUACUCCACAGACAAGAGCAACACUUGCACCACCAAACACUUGUACUUCGGCCUGUAUCUGCAUGCAAAUUCACGGAGGUCACGGUCAUGAGUUUGUUUCUUCAUGCAAAGCAACGGCCACUGCUGCGUUGUUUCUUCUUAUUUCUGCCAAUUCGAAGUCUAGCUGAGAGUGAACAGACACAAAUUCGCCUAAGCCAUACUUAGAGCUCUGGCAAUUAAGCUGGCAACAACCGCUACAAGCAUUGCUUUGGACUACUGCUGCUUGAUAGUGCCGACUCCUAUUACUUGUGAAGAUGUUGACAUAAUGCCAUCGUUGGCUUCUAAGAUUGCUGCUCUAAUCAACUGAGAGCGUUUUGAAUAGUCCCCGCUGUUGGCUGUUUCUGCUGUUGACUGAUUACUAGUGAUCUCAGAUGGUUGGCAGAAAACUCAAAAGAGGAGAGAAUACAGAAGCGGAUCGUGCCCUUUAAGUCACAUGUUGCUUUCUACCACAUCGUUUCAAACGAAGUUUUACUAUAAUAUUUCUCUAGUUUGGACUUGGUAUGUAAUUAAUAGUCAUUGCUUUGGUCAAUACACAGCCUCUUUUCCUUGUACAUGAAGGGAAUAUUUAGAUUGUUAUUCUUUCAUCCAGAAUAAGGACAUGAAAGAGCACGAUUUUUGUAUCUAUUAGAAUAGACCGAACAAUUUUUGUCAGAAGUAAUUAUGUAUAUUGACAGUAUAGCUGAACAGGUUGAGGAAAUAUAUAUCUGUUGAGAGAAGACUUGUUCUCGUAAGACAAAAAUUCUAGCCUCUAUGCUUGCAGCUGGAGGGGCCUCUGUUUCUGAACGGGGGAACUCUGUUUCAGCAGGCUUGCUUAGAAGGGUUGGAUUCGUUACUGGGGCAAAUUGGACACAUGAUGAGGUGCAAAUUUAGGAAUAUUUUUGUCUCAUAUAAGAUAAAAAAUAUAUGCACGUAGCCGUUUACAAAGUGAUCAAUUCAUCACACACGAAACAAAUAAUUGAUCUGCAAGUCAUCGUAAUUCGUUUCAAUUUUCUACCUGCGAGCUCACAACAUUCAAAUACUUCACAAAGUCUACAAAGUUAAUAAAUAAAUAUACGUGACAGACUUAUUCUCAGACCAUUUCAAUAUUGGCAAAUAAUAAGUCUCUAAUUUUUAUGAGUCUGCUCAUAAUUUCUUUUGUGUUGACCCUAUUCUCAGGUGAUUCGCUUGCACACUCCAUUGCUAAACUCAAAACAGAUGAUGCACAUGACUGCUUUGCAACAUUAGCGUGUUCUUCAUCUUCACUCAGUAGAUUUGCAUCCAUGAUAUUCAUCACCGCAGGUAACGAGUCGUUAACCCAACGCUUUAUGCUCAUUUCUCCAGUAAAAAAUUCGUUUGUGGGUUUCAUUCCUGUAAAUACUUCCAUCAACAUAAUCCCAUAGCUGUACACAUCACCUUUUAUUGACACUUGUCCUUCUCUU